UUUCCGUAGGUGAACCAGCGGAGGGAUCAUUAAAGAGUUAGGGACUUCGGCCUCGCCCUCCAACCCUUGCUAUAAUUACCAUGUAGCUUUGGCUGACCCGUCUGACGACCGCCCGCGCUUUCGCGGGCCCCCCCCCCUUUUCACCCGUCACUGUCCAUGGCCCUAUUCAAAUUCUUGAGAAAUUGAAAUGUCUGAAUUAUAUACUCAAUAGUUAACACUUUCAACAACGGAUCUCUUGAUUCUGCCGUCGAGGAAGAAACCAGCCGGUCGGCAGAGCAC
This 279-nucleotide unclassified non-coding RNA is filed under the name plant metagenome. Its description in RNAcentral is "partial contains small subunit ribosomal RNA, internal transcribed spacer 1, and 5.8S ribosomal RNA". The record is from RNAcentral.